UGGGGAAUAUUGCACAAUGGGCGCAAGCCUGAUGCAGCCAUGCCGCGUGUAUGAAGAAGGCCUUCGGGUUGUAAAGUACUUUCAGCGGGGAGGAAGGGAGUAAAGUUAAUACCUUUGCUCAUUGACGUUACCCGCAGAAGAAGCACCGGCUAACUCCGUGCCAGCAGCCGCGGUAAUACGGAGGGUGCAAGCGUUAAUCGGAAUUACUGGGCGUAAAGCGCACGCAGGCGGUUUGUUAAGUCAAAUGUGAAAUCCCCGGGCUCAACCUGGGAACUGCAUCUGAUACUGGCAAGCUUGAGUCUCGUAGAGGGGGGUAGAAUUCCAGGUGUAGCGGUGAAAUGCGUAGAGAUCUGGAGGAAUACCGGUGGCGAAGGCGGCCCCCUGGACGAAGACUGACGCUCAGGUGCGAAAGCGUGGGGAGCAAACAG
Molecule: ribosomal RNA, 428 nt
Filed under: Chloroflexota bacterium
Lineage: Bacteria; Bacillati; Chloroflexota
Description: Chloroflexi bacterium partial 16S ribosomal RNA
Rfam family: Bacterial small subunit ribosomal RNA
Source: RNAcentral